UACGUAGGGGGCAAGCGUUGUCCGGAAUUAUUGGGCGUAAAGCGCGCGCAGGCGGCAUUGUAAGUCUGUCGUUUAAGUUCGGGGCUCAACCCCGUAUCGCGAUGGAAACUGCAAGGCUUGAGUACAGAAGAGGAAAGUGGAAUUCCACGUGUAGCGUGAAAUGCGUAGAGAUGUGGAGGAACACCAGUGGCGAAGGCGGCAUCCUGGACCGACACUGACGCUGAGGAGCGAAAGCCAGGGGAGCAAACGGG
This 251-nucleotide ribosomal RNA is filed under the name uncultured bacterium. RNAcentral describes it as "partial 16S ribosomal RNA". It matches the Rfam family "Bacterial small subunit ribosomal RNA", at positions 524 to 776 of the family's 1533-position model. The record is from RNAcentral.